AUUGAACGCUGGCGGCAGGCUUAACACAUGCAAGUCGAGCGGGGUGAUGGUGCUUGCACUAUCACUUAGCGGCGGACGGGUGAGUAAUGCUUAGGAAUCUGCCUAUUAGUGGGGGACAACAUCUCGAAAGGGAUGCUAAUACCGCAUACGUCCUACGGGAGAAAGCAGGGGAUCACUUGUGACCUUGCGCUAAUAGAUGAGCCUAAGUCGGAUUAGCUAGUUGGUGGGGUAAAGGCCUACCAAGGCGACGAUCUGUAGCGGGUCUGAGAGGAUGAUCCGCCACACUGGGACUGAGACACGGCCCAGACUCCUACGGGAGGCAGCAGUGGGGAAUAUUGGACAAUGGGGGGAACCCUGAUCCAGCCAUGCCGCGUGUGUGAAGAAGGCCUUAUGGUUGUAAAGCACUUUAAGCGAGGAGGAGGCUCUUUUGGUUAAUACCCAAGGUGAGUGGACGUUACUCGCAGAAUAAGCACCGGCUAACUCUGUGCCAGCAGCCGCCGUAA
Molecule: ribosomal RNA, 503 nt
Filed under: uncultured bacterium
Lineage: Bacteria
Description: partial 16S ribosomal RNA
Rfam family: Bacterial small subunit ribosomal RNA
Source: RNAcentral